AACGAACGCUGGCGGCAUGCCUAACACAUGCAAGUCGAACGAUGCCUUCGGGCCUAGUGGCGCACGGGUGCGUAACGCGUGGGAAUCUGCCCUUAGCUUCGGAAUAACAGUUAGAAAUGGCUGCUAAUACCGGAUGAUGUCCCCCUACGAGAUCUUGGUGGCCAAAGAUUUAUCGGCCGGGGAUGAGCCCGCGUAGGAUUAGGUAGUUGGUGGGGUAAAGGCCUACCAAGCCGACGAUCCUUAGCUGGUCUGAGAGGAUGAUCAGCCACACUGGGACUGAGACACGGCCCAGACUCCUACGGGAGGCAGCAGUGGGGAAUAUUGGACAAUGGGGGGAACCCUGAUCCAGCAAUGCCGCGUGAGUGAUGAAGGCCUUAGGGUUGUAAAGCUCUUUUACCCGGGAUGAUAAUGACAGUACCUGGAGAAUAAGCUCCGGCUAACUCCGUG
This 447-nucleotide ribosomal RNA is filed under the name uncultured bacterium. Its description in RNAcentral is "partial 16S ribosomal RNA". It matches the Rfam family "Bacterial small subunit ribosomal RNA", at positions 29 to 507 of the family's 1533-position model. The record is from RNAcentral.